GACGUAGGGCGCGAGCGUUGUCCGGAAUUAUUGGGCGUAAAGAGCUCGUAGGCGGCUUGUCGCGUCGGAUGUGAAAGCCCGGGGCUUAACUCCGGGUCUGCAUUCGAUACGGGCAGGCUAGAGUUCGGUAGGGGAGAUCGGAAUUCCUGGUGUAGCGGUGAAAUGCGCAGAUAUCAGGAGGAACACCGGUGGCGAAGACGGGUUGCUGGGCCGACACUGACGCUGAUAGCGCGAAAGCCAGGGGAGCAAACGGG
This 254-nucleotide ribosomal RNA is filed under the name uncultured bacterium. RNAcentral describes it as "partial 16S ribosomal RNA". It matches the Rfam family "Bacterial small subunit ribosomal RNA", at positions 524 to 776 of the family's 1533-position model. The record is from RNAcentral.